Molecule: unclassified non-coding RNA, 475 nt
Filed under: Hevea brasiliensis (rubber tree)
Lineage: Eukaryota; Viridiplantae; Streptophyta; Magnoliopsida; Malpighiales; Euphorbiaceae
Source: RNAcentral
UUAAACCUUCUUGACCAUUCUCAAGGAGAUAGAUUCCAUCAUCACUCACAUGUUCACUAGAAAGAGGGAGUGCAGGUGGAAUAGGAGAUUCAUUUCCUUCCUUUGUAUCAAGAUCAUGGAGAGCAAUCAUCCUUGGGUGUACUAAUGGAAUUGCUAAAGGGGUAGAAACUGAGGAAACAUAAGUAAUCCAAAAGGACCGAUCAUCUAUUCUACCAUCAAUUCGCAGUCCUGUGCUUUUAACCAAUGCAAGGGUGUAUAAAGGUAGAAGUUUAAGUGCUUCCGGAAGAAUAAGUUGUCCUGAUGAUGAUACAGUUGCACAAAAUUUACGAUAUGAAAGCAGAAUGUUUAUACAAAAGUUUGUAACUUGUUCUCGGACAUUCAAUGGCGGGGUAGAAGGAAUUUCAUUUGCCGCUUGCUUCAAAAAGCAUACAAAUUGAGUGUCCAAGUCAGCCAUGCGGAACAAAUUACUUAAAUU